RNAcentral lists this ribosomal RNA (493 nucleotides) under uncultured bacterium. RNAcentral describes it as "partial 16S ribosomal RNA". It matches the Rfam family "Bacterial small subunit ribosomal RNA", at positions 28 to 506 of the family's 1533-position model. The record is from RNAcentral.
GACGAACGCUGGCGGCGUGCUUAACACAUGCAAGUCGAACGGUGAAGCGCCUUCCUUUUUGGUGGGUGUGGAUGAGUGGCGAACGGGUGAGUAACACGUGAGUAACCUGCCCCCUUCUUCUGGAUAACCGCAUGAAAGUGUGGCUAAUACGGGAUAUUCUGGGUCUGUCGCAUGAUGGGUCUGGGAAAGAUAUUGUUUCGGUGGGGGAUGGGCUCGCGGCCUAUCAGCUUGUUGGUGGGGUGAUGGCCUACCAAGGCGGUGACGGGUAGCCGGCCUGAGAGGGUGGACGGUCACACUGGGACUGAGACACGGCCCAGACUCCUACGGGAGGCAGCAGUGGGGAAUAUUGCACAAUGGGCGCAAGCCUGAUGCAGCGACGCCGCGUGAGGGAUGGAGGCCUUCGGGUUGUGAACCCCUUUCGCCAGUGAAGCAGGCCUGCCUCGUUUGUGGGUGGGUUGACGGUAGCUGGAUAAGAAGCGCCGGCUAACUACGU